This 56-nucleotide transfer RNA is filed under the name Bos taurus (domestic cattle). It matches the Rfam family "tRNA", at positions 8 to 63 of the family's 71-position model. From Rfam's summary of the family: Transfer RNA (tRNA) molecules are approximately 80 nucleotides in length. RNAcentral also lists the same sequence under 5 other names. Lineage: Eukaryota; Metazoa; Chordata; Mammalia; Artiodactyla; Bovidae. The record is from Rfam by way of RNAcentral.
UGGCUCAGAGGGUAGAGCAUCUGCCUGCAAUGCAGGAGACCUGGGUUUGAUCCCUG